GAACUUCUGUAGUAGGAGCUCGACUGAUGUCUGCUGAAGAUGAAUGCAGGUUUCUCAAUUCCGAAGGAGAACAAUGUCACUAAUUCUUUGUUGUCCAGUAGUUCUCAUAUCAAUGCAUCAGAAUCAUUAGGAAGACUUGUUGAAAGGCAGGUUGCUGGACUCCAACCGCAGAAUUUUCAUUUUGGAGAUCUGGAGCAGAAAAGAGGAUAUAUGUCUUCCAGAGUGAUGUGCAUUCUCCUGUUCUGGGGACUUCUGAGAAACACUGGUCUAAGAUGGGCAUGCAGCUUGACGUUUGCAGAGGAGACAGUCUGUAGCAUUUCCCUG
This 324-nucleotide long non-coding RNA is filed under the name Heterocephalus glaber (naked mole-rat). RNAcentral describes it as "lncRNA (ENSHGLG00100049552.1)". The record is from RNAcentral. Lineage: Eukaryota; Metazoa; Chordata; Mammalia; Rodentia; Bathyergidae.